RNAcentral lists this ribosomal RNA (497 nucleotides) under uncultured bacterium. Its description in RNAcentral is "partial 16S ribosomal RNA". It matches the Rfam family "Bacterial small subunit ribosomal RNA", at positions 28 to 507 of the family's 1533-position model. The record is from RNAcentral.
GAUGAACGCUGGCGGCGUGCCUAAUACAUGCAAGUCGAGCGAACAGAUGAGGAGCUUGCUCCUCUGACGUUAGCGGCGGACGGGUGAGUAACACGUGGAUAACCUACCUAUAAGACUGGGAUAACUUCGGGAAACCGGAGCUAAUACCGGAUAAUAUAUUGAACCGCAUGGUUCAAUAGUGAAAGACGGUUUUGCUGUCACUUAUAGAUGGAUCCGCGCCGCAUUAGCUAGUUGGUAAGGUAACGGCUUACCAAGGCGACGAUGCGUAGCCGACCUGAGAGGGUGGUCGGCCACCCGGGAAGUGAGACACGGUCCAGACUCCUACGGGAGGCAGCAGUCGGGAAUCCUCCGCAAUAGGCGAAAGCCUGACGGAACAACGGCGCGUGAGUGAUGAAGGUCUUCGGAUCGUAAAACUCUGUUAUUAGGGAAGAACAAAUGUGUAAGUAACUAUGCACGUCUUGACGGUACCUAAUCAGAAAGCCACGGCUAACUACGUG